RNAcentral lists this ribosomal RNA (403 nucleotides) under uncultured bacterium. RNAcentral's name for it is "bacterial SSU rRNA". It matches the Rfam family "Bacterial small subunit ribosomal RNA", at positions 355 to 776 of the family's 1533-position model. The record is from RNAcentral. RNAcentral also lists the same sequence under 1 other name.
UGGGGAAUAUUGCACAAUGGGCGAAAGCCUGAUGCAGCAACGCCGCGUGAGCGAAGAAGGUCUUCGGAUCGUAAAGCUCUGUCCUUGGGGAAGAUAAUGACGGUACCCUUGGAGGAAGCCCCGGCUAACUACGUGCCAGCAGCCGCGGUAAUACGUAGGGGGCAAGCGUUAUCCGGAAUUAUUGGGCGUAAAGAGUGCGUAGGUGGUUACCUAAGCAGGGGGUGAAAGGCAUUGGCUUAACCAAUGUUAGCCCCCUGAACUGGGCUACUUGAGUGCAGGAGAGGAAAGCGGAAUUCCUAGUGUAGCGGUGAAAUGCGUAGAUAUUAGGAGGAACACCAGUGGCGAAGGCGGCUUUCUGGACUGUUACUGACACUGAGGCACGAAAGUGUGGGGAGCAAACAGG